UCCCUGGUGGUCCAGUGGUUAAGAUUCUGUGCUUCCAAUGCAGAGGGCAUGGGUUCAAUUCUUGGUCAGGGAA
RNAcentral lists this transfer RNA (73 nucleotides) under Ovis aries (sheep). It matches the Rfam family "tRNA". Rfam says of the family: Transfer RNA (tRNA) molecules are approximately 80 nucleotides in length. Their secondary structure includes four short double-helical elements and three loops (D, anti-codon, and T loops). Further hydrogen bonds mediate the characteristic L-shaped molecular structure. tRNAs have two regions of fundamental functional importance: the anti-codon, which is responsible for specific mRNA codon recognition, and the 3' end, to which the tRNAs corresponding amino acid is attached (by aminoacyl-tRNA synthetases). tRNAs cope with the degeneracy of the genetic code in two manners: having more than one tRNA (with a specific anti-codon) for a particular amino acid; and 'wobble' base-pairing, i.e. permitting non-standard base-pairing at the 3rd anti-codon position. The record is from Rfam by way of RNAcentral. Lineage: Eukaryota; Metazoa; Chordata; Mammalia; Artiodactyla; Bovidae.